AUACACAUGCAAGUAUCCGCACCCCUGUGAAAACGCCCUUUACUCCCCCUCGGGACAAGGAGCUGGUAUCAGGCUCGAAAUUCUGCCCAAAACACCUAGCUACGCCACACCCACAAGGGAACUCAGCAGUGAUUAACAUUAAGCAUAAGCGAUAGCUUGACUUAGCUAAAGUAAAAAGAACCGGCAAAUCUGGUGCCAGCCGCCGCGGUUACACCACGUGGUUCAGAUUGACUUCUUCCGGCGUAAAGCGUGAUUAAAGUAUUAAAUAUUUGAAGUUGAACAUAAAUUAAGCUGUGACACGCUUAUUUAUAAGAAAACCAAAAACGAAGGUUACUUCAAUUUUCCCAACUUGAAUUCACGACAGUUAGGAUACAAACUGGGAUUAGAUACCCCACUAUGCCUAAACCGUAAACUUUAACUUACAUCUCAAUCGCCAGGGAACUACGAGCAAAGCUUAAAACCCAAAGGACUUGACGGUACCCCACACCCACCUAGAGGAGCCUGUCCUAUAAUCGAUAAUCCCCGUUUAACCUCACCACCUCUAGCUUUUCAGCCUGUAUACCUCCGUCGUCAGCUUACCACGUGAGCGAAUAUUAGUGAGCUUAAUGUCUUUACAUCAAUACGUCAGGUCAAGGUGCAG
Molecule: ribosomal RNA, 640 nt
Filed under: Physalaemus kroyeri
Lineage: Eukaryota; Metazoa; Chordata; Amphibia; Anura; Leptodactylidae
Description: partial 12S ribosomal RNA
Rfam family: Bacterial small subunit ribosomal RNA
Source: RNAcentral